GCGGAAGAAGGCCUUCGGGUUGUCAACCGCUUUUGUUGGGAAAGAAAUCCUGUCUGCUAAUACCUGGUAGGGAUGACGGUACCCGAGAAUAAGCACCGGCUAACUUCGUGCCAGCAGCCGCGGUAAUACGUAGGGUGCAAGCGUUACUCGGAAUUACUGGGCGUAAAGCGUGCGUCACGUGGUUAUUUAAGUCCAGAUGUGAAAUCCCCGGGCUCAACCUGGGAACUGCAUUGGAGACUGCAUGACUAGAAUGUGGUAGAGGGUAGAUGGAAUUCCUGGUGUAGCAGUGAAAUGCGUAGAUAUCCGGAGGAACAUCGNAUGGCGAAGGCAAUCNCCUGGUACCUGUACUGACACUCAUGCACGAAAGCGUGGGGAGCAAACAGGAUUAGAUACCCUGGUAGUCCACGCCCUAAACGAUGUCAACUGGAUGUUG
This 433-nucleotide ribosomal RNA is filed under the name uncultured Stenotrophomonas sp. RNAcentral describes it as "bacterial SSU rRNA". It matches the Rfam family "Bacterial small subunit ribosomal RNA", at positions 401 to 825 of the family's 1533-position model. The record is from RNAcentral. Lineage: Bacteria; Pseudomonadati; Pseudomonadota; Gammaproteobacteria; Lysobacterales; Lysobacteraceae.